Molecule: non-coding RNA, 164 nt
Organism: Solanum lycopersicum (tomato)
Lineage: Eukaryota; Viridiplantae; Streptophyta; Magnoliopsida; Solanales; Solanaceae
Gene: MIR396A
Product: microRNA MIR396a
Source: RefSeq, marked provisional
UGAUUCUUUGUGUACUUUUCCACAGCUUUCUUGAACUGCAUACAUAUAACAAAAAAAUCUGAUUUUUUUUUGAUUUUUUUUUACUUUUAUAAAGAAAAAAUUUAGAUGGAAAGAAUUAAAUUGUUGCGGUUCAAUAAAGCUGUGGGAAGAUACAUAUAGGAUCA